GCGGGAGUGGCGGAACUGGCAGACGCGCUAGGUUCAGGACCUAGUCCUCGUUAAGGGGGUGGGGGUUCAACUCCCCCCUCCCGCA
RNAcentral lists this transfer RNA (85 nucleotides) under Planctomycetota bacterium. RNAcentral's name for it is "Planctomycetes bacterium (groundwater metagenome) tRNA-Leu". It matches the Rfam family "tRNA". From Rfam's summary of the family: Transfer RNA (tRNA) molecules are approximately 80 nucleotides in length. Their secondary structure includes four short double-helical elements and three loops (D, anti-codon, and T loops). The record is from RNAcentral. Lineage: Bacteria; Pseudomonadati; Planctomycetota.